RNAcentral lists this ribosomal RNA (492 nucleotides) under uncultured bacterium. RNAcentral's name for it is "partial 16S ribosomal RNA". It matches the Rfam family "Bacterial small subunit ribosomal RNA", at positions 29 to 507 of the family's 1533-position model. The record is from RNAcentral.
AUUGAACGCUGGCGGCAUGCUUUACACAUGCAAGUCGAACGGUAACAGGCCUUCGGGUGCUGACGAGUGGCGCACGGGUGAGUAAUGCAUCGGAACGUACCCAGAGGUGGGGGAUAACGCAGCGAAAGCUGUGCUAGUACCGCAUGUGAUCUGAGGAUGAAAGCGGGGGACCGAGCAGCAAUGUUUGGCCUCGCGCCUUUGGAGCGGCCGAUGUCGGAUUAGCUAGUUGGUGGGGUAAAGGCCUACCAAGGCGACGAUCCGUAGCUGGUCUGAGAGGACGACCAGCCACACUGGGACUGAGACACGGCCCAGACUCCUACGGGAGGCAGCAGUGGGGAAUUUUGGACAAUGGGCGCAAGCCUGAUCCAGCAAUGCCGCGUGCGGGAAGAAGGCCUUCGGGUUGUAAACCGCUUUUGGCAGGAACGAAACGGUGUCCGCUAAUACCGGGCGCUAAUGACGGUACCUGCAGAAUAAGCACCGGCUAACUACGUG